GGUGGCUUAAUGGUAGAGCGCUUACUUUUCAUGCAUGAGGCCUGGGUUCGAUUUCUCAGCACCA
Molecule: transfer RNA, 64 nt
Filed under: Dipodomys ordii (Ord's kangaroo rat)
Lineage: Eukaryota; Metazoa; Chordata; Mammalia; Rodentia; Heteromyidae
Rfam family: tRNA
About the family: Transfer RNA (tRNA) molecules are approximately 80 nucleotides in length. Their secondary structure includes four short double-helical elements and three loops (D, anti-codon, and T loops).
Source: Rfam by way of RNAcentral